RNAcentral lists this ribosomal RNA (497 nucleotides) under uncultured bacterium. Its description in RNAcentral is "partial 16S ribosomal RNA". It matches the Rfam family "Bacterial small subunit ribosomal RNA", at positions 28 to 507 of the family's 1533-position model. The record is from RNAcentral.
GAUGAACGCUGGCGGCGUGCCUAAUACAUGCAAGUCGAGCGAACGGACGAGAAGCUUGCUUCUCUGAUGUUAGCGGCGGGCGGGUGAGUAACACGUGGAUAACCUACCUAUAAGACUGGGAUAAUUUCGGGAAACCGGAGCUAAUACCGGAUAAUAUUUUGAACCGCAUGGUUCAAAAGUGAAAGACGGUCUUGCUGUCACUUAUAGAUGGAUCCGCGCUGCAUUAGCUAGUUGGUAAGGUAACGGCUUACCAAGGCAACGAUGCAUAGCCGACCUGAGAGGGUGAUCGGCCACACUGGAACUGAGACACGGUCCAGACUCCUGCGGGAGGCAGCAGUAGGGAAUCUUCCGCAAUGGGCGAAAGCCUGACGGAGCAACGCCGCGUGAGUGAUGAAGGUCUUCGGAUCGUAAAGCUCUGUUAUUAGGGAAGAACAUAUGUGUAAGUAACUGUGCACAUCUUGACGGUACCUAAUCAGAAAGCCACGGCUAACUACGUG